Molecule: ribosomal RNA, 399 nt
Filed under: Streptococcus mitis
Lineage: Bacteria; Bacillati; Bacillota; Bacilli; Lactobacillales; Streptococcaceae
Description: bacterial SSU rRNA
Rfam family: Bacterial small subunit ribosomal RNA
Source: RNAcentral
CGGCGUGCCUAAUACAUGCAAGUAGAACGCUGAAGGAGGAGCUUGCUUCUCUGGAUGAGUUGCGAACGGGUGAGUAACGCGUAGGUAACCUGCCUGGUAGCGGGGGAUAACUAUUGGAAACGAUAGCUAAUACCGCAUAAUAGUAGAUGUUGCAUGACAUUUGCUUAAAAGGUGCAAUUGCAUCACUACCAGAUGGACCUGCGUUGUAUUAGCUAGUUGGUGAGGUAACGGCUCACCAAGGCAACGAUACAUAGCCGACCUGAGAGGGUGAUCGGCCACACUGGGACUGAGACACGGCCCAGACUCCUACGGGAGGCAGCAGUAGGGAAUCUUCGGCAAUGGACGGAAGUCUGACCGAGCAACGCCGCGUGAGUGAAGAAGGUUUUCGGAUCGUAAAGC